Molecule: RNA transcript, 1482 nt
Organism: Daphnia magna
Lineage: Eukaryota; Metazoa; Arthropoda; Branchiopoda; Diplostraca; Daphniidae
Exons: 5
Source: RefSeq, a predicted model, not a curated record
AUUACGUAAUAGUAUUCUAUUACUCUGCUCUGGUGGUAGGGUUCGCCCCGACGACACGAGAGCGAUAUUUUCAAAUCGUGAAUUUUGUGCCACUGGCGGGCUGAGUGUGUGCUUGUGUGCGUGUGUGCGUGUGUGGUGUUUGUUUACAAAAAUACAAACGCAGCUACCUGUCGGUUUUAGAUUGUUUCAUUAGAAAACUCAGUGCCAAAGAGAAUAUGAACUCAAGUUAGUUACCAUGGCAAGUGGAAACAGUGAAGAUCCUGAAAUUGGCUCGGAUUAUGGGCAGUAUUGCUUGGAAGAUAUUCCUGCUGAUCAAGCAAAUCGAUUUGAAUUUGGAAAAGGAUAUGAUGUAUCUUUUUUUCAAGAUAUCAGGGAAAAAUAUCAAGGAAGAAAGAACAACAAUCGAAGGAGAACUCAACAUCCAACCUUGUUCAAGGCGCUCCAAGAUAUCCCACCCACCCAGCACUUUGGUUGGAUUUCAAGAAGCGCAAAGGGACCUGCAGCUCGAGGUGUACUUCUAUACAUUAUAUACUAUAGAAGAUGGCAUGGAUCAUUUUACACUGUCAGCAUCCAAAAACACAAAGGAGUGGUCUACUGAUGUUGGUGGGUAUGGAAACCUUGCCAAUGAAUUCAUGCAAACUCCAGAGUGCCAUGCUGUAGUAGAUACAUGGACUAGCAUCGUAAGAAAACACCAAUUGGCGAGAGAGAAAAAUCCAGAAUGGAUUGCCCACCACAAGGAAAGCGAGAUCCAACGCAAAAAAAACGCGUGGAAACAAUGUAUGGCAAAUCUUUAGGUCGUUCGACUUCAAUACGGACGGAGGCCGCAACUGCAAUUGCCAGUCAUCAAAAUAAUGGAUUCGAAAUGAUCAGAGGAAAUUCUGAAGGUCAUAUUCGAUGAUUGAUACGCUUCAUCAAAUGAAUAAUUUCGUUUUUUAGACUUAGAUGGAGAUGUGGCCCGAUUUAGUACCUCUUCUCCUAAUGAACAUGAUGUAUUGCUAGAAAGUCGUGAUGCUGGUCAUCAACAAGUAUUACCUGAUGUUCAUGAAGGGAGUGAGCAGUUUGUUUCAAAUAUUACUACGCGACCGAUGGCAACUUGUGGAGCUAUCUAUGGGUGUGAUUCAACGAGACCGAAUUUCAGUAGUCCAAGUGGUGAGCUAGUCGGAUCAACUACCACCACAGUUCCAAAUGCUUCAGGAAGCGAUGGUUACGCUUCUGUUCGCGGCAAUGUUCCACGAAAUUAACCCGCUCCAAUGCCGAUGCCUACUUUAUCAUCGACCUCGUCUGAUUCUAUACCCAAAUUCCUUCCGCUUCUGCCAAGCCUGGGAGAUGCCCUUCAAGUGGCCGUGGUGUCACUGACGCAAAAGGACGCAAUGGCUCGAAAAUCCUUGGUAGUUCUGCGGAGCGCCCAAUUGUGCACCCGUUAAGUGGUAAUAGUCGUAUAGGUACAGAAAAUAAUGCUAGCUCUCAGCAGGCAAAAAACAU